Microbotryomycetes sp. JL201 is the source of this 86-nucleotide non-coding RNA. The record is from the annotation of a GenBank genome assembly. NCBI's taxonomy places the organism in Eukaryota, Fungi, Basidiomycota, Microbotryomycetes.
GCCCCCGUGGCUUAGUGGUACAGCGUGUCACUCGUAUUGCAAGAUACGCCAUGACAAGAUCGGGUGUUCGAUUCACCCCGGGGGCA